UACGUAGGUGGCGAGCGUUGUCCGGAUUUACUGGGCGUAAAGUGUGCGCAGGCGGCGUUGCAAGUCGAGUGUGAAAUCCCCGAGCUUAACUUGGGAAUUGCGCUCGAAACUACGAUGCUCGAGUAUGGCAGAGGAAGGUGGAAUUCCACGUGUAGCGGUGAAAUGCGUAGAGAUGCGGAGGAACACCGGUGGCGAAGGCGGCACGCUGGACACCUUCUGACGCUGAGGCGCGAAAGCCAGGGGAGCAAACGGG
RNAcentral lists this ribosomal RNA (253 nucleotides) under uncultured bacterium. Its description in RNAcentral is "partial 16S ribosomal RNA". It matches the Rfam family "Bacterial small subunit ribosomal RNA", at positions 524 to 776 of the family's 1533-position model. The record is from RNAcentral.